UAGAUUAAAGCUUGUUGUUUAUAGCGCUUAGCUGUUAACUAAAAAUUUGUAGGAUAAAAGCCUUCUAAUCUAG
This 73-nucleotide transfer RNA is filed under the name Ambystoma unisexual lineage LJJJ. RNAcentral describes it as "tRNA-Asn". It matches the Rfam family "tRNA". Rfam says of the family: Transfer RNA (tRNA) molecules are approximately 80 nucleotides in length. Their secondary structure includes four short double-helical elements and three loops (D, anti-codon, and T loops). The record is from RNAcentral. Lineage: Eukaryota; Metazoa; Chordata; Amphibia; Caudata; Ambystomatidae.